CGUGGGUGACCACCUUUCAGUGAGGAAUAACCGGCGAGAAAUCGCCGACAAUACCGCAUGAGCUUCCCUUGCGAGAGGAGGGGAAGGAAAGCUUUCUCUUUUGAGAAGGCGCUGGGAGAUGGGCCCGCGGCCGAUUAGCUAGUUGGUGGGGUAAGAGCCUACCAAGGCGUCGAUCGGUAGCUGGUCUGAGAGGACGAUCAGCCACACUGGGAUUGAGAACGGCCCAG
This 227-nucleotide ribosomal RNA is filed under the name uncultured bacterium. RNAcentral's name for it is "partial 16S ribosomal RNA". It matches the Rfam family "Bacterial small subunit ribosomal RNA", at positions 116 to 334 of the family's 1533-position model. The record is from RNAcentral.